Molecule: long non-coding RNA, 1065 nt
Filed under: Cricetulus griseus (Chinese hamster)
Lineage: Eukaryota; Metazoa; Chordata; Mammalia; Rodentia; Cricetidae
Description: lncRNA (ENSCGRG00015029138.1)
Source: RNAcentral
ACCCUCCAGAGCCACGUGGCCCUUGAUAAAUCCUAGACUGUGCUCAGGAGGACUUGUGUGGUUCCUGAAACUGUCUUUUUAACAACUGAGAUGAGGGAGCCGUUAGCUGGAAGUGGGGCUUUGGGAGGUCUCCUGAAGUCCUCUCUGCAACCUGUGCAUCAGAGAAACUGGCCACUGGUGAGUGACCUUUUCAGGUGAGUGAGCUCUCAGGGUGAUGUUGAAACACAGGAUUAGGGGAAACAGACACCGCAGCCUGUUACCCACCUAUUGCUGGGAGGUAGAAGACGAAUCAAGAAUUUAAACACAUGUAAAACAGCCUCGGUGGCAGUGGCAUCUUUCCCGCUGGAGGAGAGAAUAGAAGAACCGGCUCAGCGCUCUGAGGAAACAUCUUCUCGCUCCCUGCCGAGGGACAGACUUACAAAGGAUGAUAUUUACAUUUUCUCCAAGCCUCUAAUUUUCUCAUUUAUCAUUUGUCAGAGCCCGAGGCCCUUCCUCAGCACAUGGUGUUUGCCAGCUGCUAAUGAUCCCUUUACCAAACAUCACAGUCCAGCCAGGAGCUUGUUAAUGUUGCUGAGGCUGCUGAUUUAAUGCCUUAGUGUCACAGGUCUCGGGCCCCUGGAUCACAGGAAUGCUGCUGCCCUGGGGCCCUGUGCUUCCUGCAGGCUCCCCCAACACCAGGGAACCAUGGAAACCACUCCAGUCCCAGAGACUGGCAGAGCCCUGAGGUUAGCUGAGGAAGCGGGCAGAGGCUUCUAGAACUCCACCCAGAGAUCACAGCUGGGCCCCACCUUGCUGCCCGGCAGGGAACACCUGAGGACUGGAGUCACUCAAGGAGUAAGCAGAGACAGGGUUUCCAGGGCUCCAGACCCAUUCUUCUUCCUUGGUACCAUCUCCUCUUCUUGUCCUCUGAGGCAGAGCAAAACCGUAGUCCAUGAGAGAGAUUCUGUCCAGCCCAGGACCCAGAGACACCUCAUGAUGACACAGGGGCUUCUGGGUCUUGUGACACGGGGAAGGGACAACUCCUCUGGUUCCUGAUUAUGAACCAGUUUAGAGCCUGUCAUUAAG